GCUUGUAGUCCCAGCUAAGCUGGAGGCUGAGGUGGGAGGAUCUCUUGAGGCCAGGAGGUCAUGGCUGCAGUGAGUUAUGAUCACGCUACACUACACUGCAGCUAAAGUGAGUUUAUAGCUUGAAGGUUACACAUACACAAUAUUAGUAAGAUUUUAAAAAUUAAUACUUAAAUUAGUAUUUUUGCAUGAUAAUUUGCUUUUGGGAAUCUAUUCUGAGGACAUGACUAAAAAUGUAGAUAAAGGUUAAUCUUCAAGUUUAUUCAUCCCAUUAUCACUGUGAAAAACUGGAAACAUAAUUUACAAAUGAUUAAAUAGAUUAUAGUAUUAUGUAGUAUAGUAUUUUUCAUUAUUUCUGUAUUAUGUCGGCACUUAAAUGCCUUAAAGAAUUUAAAUGAUAUAUAAAAAUGUAGUUUACAAAUGGCUCAAUGGAUUCUAGUAUUAUUUCUAUAUUGUGUACCCACUAAAAUGAUUUGAAGAAUUUGAAGAAUCUUUAAUUGCAUGGAAGAAAUGCUAGCAACAUAAUUAAGUGAAGGAAAAACCCAGAGUAUCUACAGAUUAUCUUAAUUAUGUUUUAAAAAAUAAAUCACAAAAUACAUAUAUAUCUAUAUACCAUGCAUGCUUGCCAAAAAAUUUUAAAAAGCUAGAUGUAUCCCAGAAUGCUAACUGAAGCUAUCUCUGGGUGGUGAAAUUGUAAGUAAUUUUUAACUUCUUUAUAAUUGUAUGUAAUUUUAUUGAUAUUCUUGUGUUAACGUAAAUCUCUUCUUUAACCAAAUUAAUUUAGGACUAAUAAGUCAAGUGAGUUGUAUUUGGACCCAGAUCUUUGGCAAAGCUGUUCAUACAGGGUAGGCAGCUCUGAGAUUAUAAAUUUUCUACCAGUGACUGUUGAGACAGCAGCUUGAAAGAUAUUUAGAUAAGGAUAAUCUGAAGGGAGUGACUGAUUCUUCCACCUUCAUGAUUCUGUGUUUUUUUUUUUUAUUUUUUUUUUUUGGUAAGUCAUAUAUAUGCAUGACGUGACAGGUACACUUGCAUAGCUCUCAAUAUUGUAAAGUAGUUUUACUUUCCAUGGGAGAUCCUGGGAGGUAAAAUUAAAUGUAGUUACUGUUUUGAAGAAGAGCUAUUUGAUGACAGUUGGUGAAGAGAUCUUUAACAAUGGCACUCACUGGUGGAAGGAAGAGAGAGAAACUUAGAAGUUAGGUCCUAGGAACUGAUUUGCUUUGGGAGGUAAAAAGUAUUCCUACUUUUUUAAUUUGGAAAGACCAGGUAGAUGAUGAAGCUAGUAACAAAAUUGCAAAUAGGAAGAAGAGGCAGGUUUGUUCUUCUUUUAUUCUUUCAAAAACAAAUGUGUGUAUUUGUAGAGGGGAGUUCAUAAGUUUACUUUGAAUAUGUAGAGUUCAAGUGUCUGAAUGUCCAGGUGAAGAUGUCCAGUAGGAAGACUAGCACUAAUGAUAUAUUCUGACCUUUAGUACAAGGAUUUUCAAACAUUUUGCUCACAUAUGCCUUCAAAGAACUGGAAAAACAAAGAACUAUGUACCUUCUCCCACAUCUUGAGUUUUUCAUCUGAGUUUUAAUAUCUGUAAAUGAUGUAAUUUCUAGUGCUGGUGUUCAAAUCACAAUUUUAAAUGUGUAUGAGGGGAUUUUUAACAAUUCAUUAAAAAAUAUAUGAACAGACUUAAUUUUAACAGAAUUUUUUAUUGUCUUUUUUUCUCUUUGAACUCUAUUUUUGUUUUACUUUCUCUACCUAUUAUCCUAAUGUAUACUUUUAUGCUGGAAAGCAUUUUUAUCAAAAAUCAUGUUGUAUUUUCUCUCAUUUUUGUUUUACUUUCUUUACAUAUUAUCCUAAUAUAUUCUUUUAUGCUAGAAAGCAUUUUUAUCCGUUAUGUGAUAUUUUUCUGCAACAAAAGGAAAUUCAUUCAUGAAUUUAGUAGAGGGGAAUAAAAAGUGCUUUAUUUUAAUGGUCCCUCAGUUUUGAGUUCUAUGGACAGUUAUAAUACAAAAAUAGGAAAAUUGUGUAUGUCCAUAAUGCUCUGUGUCAAAUUUAUUUUGGACUGAGUUAUCACUUCAGUCAUAGCCAGUAGACAAUCAAAACAACACAUGUUAAUUACAAAUUUUAAUAAGUAUUAAAGUAAAAUUUUGUCAGAAAUGCGUUUUCAGUGGGAUAGAUGGGGCUGAUUUAUUUCAAUUAGUUUAUCCAUUUAUAAAUAUUAUUAGAAAAGAUGGGGUUCUGCUUGAUUCUGUUCCUUUUUUACUUUAAUAUUUGAAAGUAUUGAGAAACCUCACUUAUGAAUUUAGUAGAUGGUUAUUAAAAAGUGCUUUAUAUUGCUUUGUAUUAGUAGUAUCACCCAUUCUUCUAGGUUGUAUGCAUAAAACGAAAUAAUCCAUAAUCAAAUUAUUUUUAAUACUUAUAUCAGGUAGCAACUGGGUUUGAUUCUCCUUUCAUUUUCAUGGAAGUGGUGACACCUUGAUUUGAAAAAGAACCCUGAACUUAAAAUAAAUGUUAAAAAAAAAAAAAAAAGAAAAAAAAAAGGUGUCAGUGUUUUUAGAGUAAUUAACUUUCUCAACAUGAAUAUAUUGAAAUGCCGUUUUGGCCACCUGGAUGUUUUUAGCCCAAAGACAGUACUCCACAGCAAGUUUCAGAAAGUGUGAGAGUUACAGUUUUCUUUUAUGAAGUGGCAGAGGGGAAAGAGGUAAAGGGAAAGAGGAAGUGGAAGUAAAGGAAAACAGACUUGCUGUGUCAGCAGAAUGGUUCUAGAAAACUGUACAGAUGGAAAUUGAGAAUAUAAUCAUCAGUUCUCUUGAAACUCUCCAUGCUCGUACACUUCCAGGGGUAUGCAUGACCCAAUUUGUAGACUGCUGGUUUACUGUAUUCUCUUUGUUACUUGUUGCUACCUUGUUGCUGUAUUUUACUGCUCUCCAUAGCUAUUCAGAAAUAAUACCUUAUACAUCUGUUAUUUUUUUUCUAGGGUUUUGAUUGCUACUAGUUCUGGGUUUCCAUACUUCAGCACUCUAUGGAAUCAGAAUGUCAGUGCUUAAAAGGGACUUUAUAAAUAAUUCCAUUCUCAACAUUUCAGAAAUUUAGCGGCUGAGGCUCAGAAGAUGAAGUGAUUUGCCCCAGAUCACACAAAGAGUACCUUCAUAUUGGUGAAGACUGACAAAAUCCACUGUUGGGAAGGAUAUAAGAAAAUGAGUAAUUUUACAUGCGGAGUUGGAGUAUCAUUGGAGUCAACCUUUUGAGAGGACAGAAGGUCUAGCUAUGCAAAUGAAAAUUUUAAAUUAGAAUAUUGCCCUUUCUGCAGACCUGGAAUUUGUCCAAAGGGGCAAUUGCAAACCUUUGCUAAGAUAUAUGUAUACAGAUUUUUGGUAACAAUUUGCAACAUUGGUAAUGAUAGAUAUUUUAAUUCAUUUCAGUGCUUCUCUGGGGGGGGAUGGGAUAAAUUAUGGGUAUUUUAAUUCAACAGAAAACUCUGUAUCCAAUAAAAUAAUGCCAAAUAGCCAUAUUUGUCAUAGAAAGAUAGACAUAACAAUUUUGGGGGAAAAAACUAGUUGCCAAAUGGCAUGCCUGUCAAUCUAACAGACAUGCCAUUUAAUGCAGCUUUCUACAUCUGUAUUUUUGGAUAAAAUCAUGUAAGAUACUAUAUAUCAAUGUGUGAAAACAUCCAAAUCUGGAAGGUUAUUCGGUAUAAUGUUAACGGUGGCUAUCUUUGGGUAGUGAGAUUCCUGAUAAUUUUUACCAUUUUCGUACUUCUGUGAUUUUUUUUUAAAACAAUGAAAAUAUACCCAUUUCAGAAAUCAACAAAGCUAUUUUUUGAAAUCUUCCCAUUAAAAAAGUAACGUCUGUUAGUCAGAAUAUCAUAUAAGUGGAAUUUUUAAAUUAUGAAGAGACUGAGGUCUAGUUAGUUAAUAGUUUAAAUAAGUUACAAGUAUGUGAGUUGGAAGUGGGUUUUCACUGCCAUAUCCCUGUAUGCCUGGCAUGUAGGUGUUCAGAGGGUAUAGUCUGUUAAAAUGAAAGUAGAGUCAUGUGUCUCUUAACGAUGAGGAUACAUACUGAGAAAUGCGUCAUUAGGCGAUUUCAUCGUUGUGUGAACAUCAUAUUUACACAAAUCUAGAUAGCAGAGCCUACCACACACCUAGGCUGUGUGGUGUAGCCUAUUGCUUCUAGGCUACAAACCUGUACCGCAUGUUACUGUGCUAGAUAUGUAGGAAGUUGUAACACAAUGGUAAGUAUUUGUGCAUUUCAACAUAGAAAAGAUAAAGUAAAAAUACAGUAUUAUAAAUUUAUGGGUCCACUGUUAUACAUGCUAUUCAUUAUUGAACAAAAUGUGGUUAUUUGGCACAUGACUAUAUAGGGUUAUAAUGUUUGGAGGAAUACGCUGCAUUCUUAAUGAAAAAUGAAGAAAAUUAAAGUAAGUGUUACAGUGAAUAGUUUACAAAAAACAUUCUACCUACUUCAAAGCUAAGAAAGUAAACUUUCUGCUAUCAUUUAAAUUAACUAAAAUAUUUGAGGGUCUCUAUAUGCCUGAUAUAUUUGUAAAAUCUAUAAUGUUAUUAAGAAAAAUUAUGACUUAAGAUCAUAGAAUAUUACUAUUAGAAGGUACUGUAAAGUUCCCAUAACAUAUAGAUCAGUAAGCUGAAACUAGAGAGGUUAAAGGACACACACAGUCAUUACAGAAAUCUCUUCUGUUGCAUGUUCCUGAUUUUGACUAUUUAGCUUUAUGGAACACUUUUGGAAUGGGCAGAUUACCACUUUAUAAGGCAAUGCAUUGUGUUUAAUGGUGUAGUGGGGUUGAAUAGUAUUUAUCAACAAUUCUUGUUCACCAGGAAUCUCAGAAUGUGACCUUAUUUGGAGUAUGAGUCUUUGCAAAUGUAGUUAAGAUGAGAAUAUAUGGGAUUAGGACAGGCCCUGAAUUCAAUGAGUGGUAUCUCUGGAGUCCCAGAAACUCAGAUACACUCAAGGAAGAAAAUCAUGUGAAGAUGGAGGCAGAGAUUGGAGUGAUGCAGCCACCAGCCAAGAACACCAAGGAUUGCUGGGAGACAUCAGAAACUAGAAAGGGGCAAGGACGAUUCUCCUCUAAAGCCUUCAAAGGGAGCAUGGUCCUGCUGACUCCUUGAUUUUGGACCUUCAGCCUUCAGAACUAUGGGAGAAUAUAUUUCUGUUGUUUUAAACCACCUGAUUUAUGGUACUGUGUUACAGCCCUAGGAAACUAUUACAGAUGGUUUUGAUUAUUUCAAAUUUAUUUGUUCAUUUUUUCAGUCAGAUUUAUUGAGCACUUAUUAUAUGCCAGGCACUCUGCUAGGCAUUACAGAGAUAAAGAAGACAUUGUUUCUGCCUUCGUUCUUGGAAUUUGACCCACUAGAAAAAGUAGCUUUGUAAAUAGAUAAUUACAAUACAUUUUGAUACAUGUUCUCACUAGAAUGGUAUAUGAAGUUAAGUGAUGGCACCUGAAGGUAGGAGAACCUGGAAAGUUUUUACGAAGUGAUAUCUUUGUGUUUGGUUUCAAAGAUAGAGUUGAAAUCAGUCUCCAUGGGAAUUCUGUUUUAUUCUGCCACUGCAGUGCCAUCAGUCCUACCUAGUUCAAAGCGUAUUUAGCCGGCUGCAGUAGCCUCCUGUCACUAGAAUUCUGCCUCCACUGUUUGGUUGAAGUAAUUUUUAAGAUGCAGUAAGAUUGUGUCAGUCUAUUGAAAACAUCAGCAUGUUCUCAACACAGUAAAACACAAUUCCAACUCCUUUUCAUGAUAUGGCCCCACAUGAUCUGGUUCCUGCUACCUCUUCAAUCUCUUCUCCUUUCACAGUGGUCUCCCUGCUGUUUGUGAACAUGCCAGCUUUGUUCUCGUCUUUGUCUUUGCCCUGGCUGUUUUCUCAGACUCAAGCUCUUCCCAUAGCUCCAUGUCAUUCAAGUAUCAGCUCAGUCUUUGCAGAGGAGCCUUCAUUGGCCAUCCCCUUCAAAAUAGCUCCCAUCCCCAUCUAUCCCGUUACCUGUUACACUUUAUUUAUGACACACCUCACUAAUUUGAUUUGUAUGUCUCUGCCUGGCCUUCACCUCCACCUCACCCCCUACCUUCACCGCCAUUGAAUAUAUGGUCAGCAGACAGGAAUCCUAUUUACCCUAUUAACUGCUCUGUCCCUAGUGUAUAUCACAUAGUAAGUGUUCUUUACAAAAGAAUGAAGAAAAACUUACUCAUUUAGUCUCAUGCUUACCAUGUCAGAACAUAUGUCACCAUAACUUUCCUCUGGAUGAAUCCCAAAUUGUAUUCUUCCCACCUACCACCUCCAAGAUUCCACCUUCAUCUUUAUACCCUUUCUGAAUUGCCCUUUGUAAUAUUGGAACUAUCUUAAUCUCUAAAUAUAUAAAUAUAAUAUAUGCAAGUCUUAUUUAAGAAUACAUUGAAGUUUAGAACAGUAAGGUACCCAAAGUAACACAGCUAUAAGUGGUAUUUCUAGGAUUUAAACUUAGAUCUGUCUCUAACUAAAGCUCCUCUGCUGUGCUGUUGUGGAGGCUGAUGUUCUUGGUAAGUGGGAGGUAUAAAUCCAGAAUUAGAAUAGGAGCCCAGUCCGUUGGAAUAGAAAUAGCAAACAUUCAUUAUUUGUUUCUAUAAGAAGAACUGGGUGAUAUUUGUUAAAAGAACCUUUAAAAAGUAACUUGAAUUUUUUUUUGGACUAAAGUUAAUGUAUGGUUGUUAUAAAAUACAUGGAAUAUAUGGAAUAUAUGAAAAAAUACAAAGAAGAAAGUAAAGACCAUCCAUAAUUGUUCCACUGAGAGAUAACCACUCUUAACAUUUUAGAAUAUUUUAAUCAAGUAUUUUUUGUGCAGAAAUAUUGUGAUGAUUUUUAUGCAUAAAUCUUGAAUUUUGAAAUCAUUUCCUAAUGUAAUUACUAGAUCAAAACAUAUUGUCAAAUUUGUUUCCAGAAAGAUUAUGCCAAUUUAUAUUUCCAAUAUAUUUAGUUUCCAUUUCUGGAAUUUGUUAAAUAUUAAACUUGUAAUAUAUGUUUGUUAUUAAUUACCUGCUCUGUCUAUAGGCAUACCUCAGAUAUUGUGGGUUCAGACUAUCACAAUAAAGCUAAUAACAUAAUAAAGCAAGUCACCUGAGUCUUUUGGUUUCCCCAUGCAUAUAAAAGUUAUAUUUGCACUGCACUGUAGUCUAUUAAGUGUACAGUAGCAUUAUGUCUAAGAAAGACAAUGUACACACUUUAAAAAUACUUUAUUGCUAAAAAAGGCUAACAGUCAUCUGAGCCUUCAUUAAGCUGUAAUCUUUCUGCUGGUGGAGGGUCUUGCCUCAGUUGAUGGCUGCUGACUGAUCAGGGUGGGAGUUGCUGAAGGUUGGGUGGCUGUGGCAAUUUCUUAAAAUAAGACAACAAUGAAAUUUGCUGCAUUGAUGGACUUUCCCUUUCAUAAAAGAUUUUUCUGUAGCAUGUGAUAGUGUUUAAUAGCGUUUUAUCCAUAGGCAGAACUUCUUCUAAAAUUGGAGUCAGUCCUCUCAAACCCUGCUUUAUCAACCGAGUUUAUGUAACAUCCUGAAUUCUUUGUUGUCAUUUCAGCAGUGUUCACAGCAUCUUCACCAGGAGUAAAUUUCAACUCAGGAAACCACUUUCUUUGCUCAUCAGUAAGAAGCAAUUCCUCAUUAAAUUUGAGUGUUAUAUGGACAAGUUUCAUGGCACCCCAAUUACAAUAGUAUCAUUAAAGAUCACUAUCACAGAUCACCAUAACAAAUAUAAUAAAAUGUUUGAAAUAUUGUGACAGUUAUCAAAAUGUGACAUAGAGAUAAGAAGUGAGCAGAUGCAGUUGGAAAAAUGGUGCCGGUAGACUUGCUAGAUGCAGAGUUGCCACAGACCUUCAUUUAAAAAAAAAAAAAAAAAAAAAAAAAAAAAAAAUGUAGUAUCUGAAAAGCCCAAUAAAGCAAGGUAUGCCUGUAUCUUCUGUAAGUUGUUUCUGUUGGCUCUUGUUUUUCUGUUGUCAACUUAGUAUAUUUUAUAUCAAUUUUUGAAUUAUUUUCUAUUGAAAAUGAACAUUCUAUCAUAUUUGUGGGAAACUUUCCAUUUUUUUGCCUUAUUUUUAAUGUCCUACCUGUACUGCCAAAUGUUAACUGGUAAGUCUUUAGUUGCUGUAAUGAUGUAAUAAUAGGGGUAAGUUCAUUAUUAGUAAAAGUUUUUAGUAUUUUAUAAA
This is a non-coding RNA of Chlorocebus sabaeus (green monkey), 8156 nucleotides long. NCBI's taxonomy places the organism in Eukaryota, Metazoa, Chordata, Mammalia, Primates, Cercopithecidae. The record is from RefSeq and is a predicted model, not a curated record.